UUCUUUCUGUUUCAGCGCGUGUAUUACCUGUCUCUGGAGUUCUACAUGGGUCGGACUCUUCAGAACACGAUGGUGAACCUGGGCGUCCAGAACACGUGUGACGAAGCCAUGUACCAGUUGGGUUUGGACAUCGAGGAGCUGGAGGAGAUCGAGGAGGACGCUGGUUUGGGGAACGGAGGUCUGGGCCGUCUGGCGGCCUGUUUCUUGGACUCGAUGGCGACUCUGGGUCUGGCUGCUUACGGCUACGGGAUUCGCUACGAGUACGGAAUCUUCAACCAGAAGAUCAGAGACGGAUGGCAGGUGGAGGAGGCGGACGAUUGGCUGAGACACGGAAACCCCUGGGAGAAGGCGCGACCGGAAUAUAUGCUCCCAGUGCAUUUCUACGGACGCGUCGAGGAAACGAAGGACGGGUCCAGAUGGAUCGACACACAGGUGGUGCUGGCGAUGCCGUACGACACGCCCAUCCCCGGGUACAAGAACAACACGGUGAACACCAUGAGGCUGUGGUCGGCCCGAGCCCCAAACGACUUCAACCUGCGAGACUUUAACGUUGGAGAUUAUAUCCAGGCGGUUCUGGACCGAAACCUGGCAGAAAACAUCUCCAGAGUUCUUUACCCCAACGACAACUUUUUCGAGGGGAAGGAGCUGCGGCUGAAGCAGGAGUAUUUCGUGGUGGCUGCGACGCUUCAGGACAUCAUCAGAAGAUUCAAAACCACCAAGAAAGGAACUCCAGGGAGGACGUCGUUUGAGAGUUUCCCCGACAAGGUGGCGAUCCAGCUGAACGACACUCACCCGGCCAUGGCCAUCCCCGAGCUCAUGAGGAUCUUCGUGGACAUCGAGAAGCUGGACUGGGACGUGGCGUGGGAUCUGACCCGCCGCACCUUUGCCUACACCAACCACACGGUGCUGCCCGAGGCUCUGGAGCGAUGGCCCGUCAGGCUCAUGGAGACUCUGCUGCCCCGACACCUGCAGAUCAUCUACCAGAUCAACCAGAAGCACCUGGACAACAUCGCCGCUCUGUUUCCCGACGACAUGGACAAACUUCGUCAGAUGUCGUUGAUCGAGGAGGACGGAGAGAAGAGGGUGAACAUGGCUCAUCUGUGCAUCGUCGGCUCACACGCCGUCAACGGAGUCGCCGAGAUCCACUCCAACAUCAUCAAGACCCAAGUAUUCCGUAACUUCAGUGACCUGGAGCCGGAGAAGUUCCAGAAUAAAACCAACGGGAUCACGCCGCGGCGCUGGCUGCUCGUCUGCAACACGGGGCUGGUGGACGUCAUCGCUGAGGUCAUUGGGGAGGAUUUCAUCACUGACUUGAGUCAACUCAGAAAACUCAACGACUUUGUGGACGACAAACAUUUUCUACAAAACAUCAUGAAAGUCAAACAGGAGAACAAGUUGAAGUUCUCUCAGUACUUGGAGCGAGAAUAUCGAGUCAAAAUAAACCCGUCGUCCAUUUUCGACGUCCACGUGAAACGAAUCCACGAGUACAAGAGACAAGUCCUCAACUGUCUGCACAUCAUCCACCUCUACAACCAAAUCAGGAUGAACCCGAACGCCUCCUUCACUCCCCGGACGGUGAUCAUCGGGGGAAAGGCCGCCCCCGGGUACCACAUGGCCAAGAUGAUCAUUAAACUCAUCACGUCGGUGGCGAAUGUGGUGAACCACGACCCCCUGGUGGGAGACAAACUCAAAGUCAUUUUCCUGGAGAAUUACAGGGUUUCACUGGCCGAGAAAGUGAUCCCGGCGACCGACCUGUCGGAGCAGAUCUCCACGGCCGGGACGGAGGCGUCCGGCACCGGGAACAUGAAGUUCAUGUUGAACGGAGCUUUGACCAUCGGCACCAUGGACGGAGCCAACGUGGAGAUGGCAGAAGAAGCAGGACGAGAAAACAUCUUCAUAUUUGGAAUGAAGGUGGAAGACGUCCAGGAGAUGGACGAGAAGGGUUACGACGCCUUGACCUACUACGAGUCUCUGCCGCAGCUCAAACAGGUGAUGGACCAAAUCACCGGAGGAUUCUUCAGCCCCAAGAACCCGGCGCAGUUUAAAGACCUGACGGACAUGCUCUUCAAACACGACCGAUUCAAAGUUUUUGCUGAUUUUGAAGAUUACGUGAAAUGUCAAGAGCGAGUGAGCAAACUGUUCCAGGACCCGGUGGCCUGGACAAAGAUGGUGGUCAGAAACAUCGCGGCCACGGGGAAGUUCUCCAGCGACCGAACCAUCUCCGAAUACGCCCGAGAAAUCUGGAACGUGGAGCCGAGUAACAUCAAGAUCCCUCCUCCCUGCGAACCUCUGCGCGUCGACAACCUCACCGCCUAGACCGGACCAGACCGGACCAGACCAGACCGGACCUCCAGAGCCUCUGCACGUGGACAACCUCACCAGUUAGAUCCUCCAGACCAGUGAGACCUUCUGACCGGACCAGACCUCCAGAUCAGUUAGAACCACAAACCAUCUGACCUGACCUCCUGACCGGACGACUGGACCAGGGACUAGACCAGGACUGGACCAGGACUAGACCUUUUUAUUUUGAGUCUCACCUGUCUCACCUGUCGUCCUGCUCAGUUUUAAAGUUACACUCUGGAACUUUUCCCCGUCUCCAUGGAGAUGCCCAGAAUGUUCCUCUGUUCGGCUUUAAACUUUUCUGACUCUGUAGAGACGAAAAACCAGGACGAGUCUGCGAGACGUUUACGACCACGACUCGUUUCACUGGUCAGAAAUAUCAGAGUAAUAAAGUUUUUAAAGCCAAACUGCGGAACAUUUCAGGCGCACAAACACACACACACACACACACACACUGACACACACACAUGCAUAUACACACACACACACACACACACACACACACACACACACACACACACACACAUGCAUAUACACACACACACAUGCAUAUACACACACACACACACACACAUGCAUAUACACACACACACACACAUGCAUAUACACACACACACACACAUGCACACACACACAUGCAUAUACACACACACACACACAUGCAUAUACACACACACACACACAUGCAUAUACACACACACACAUGCAUAUACACACACACACACACAUGCAUAUACACACACACACACACACAUGCAUAUACACACACACACACACAUGCAUAUACACACACACACACACAUGCAUAUACACACACACACAUGCAUAUACACACAUACACACACACACAUGCAUAUACACACACACACACAUGCAUAUACACA
Molecule: RNA transcript, 3224 nt
Organism: Boleophthalmus pectinirostris (great blue-spotted mudskipper)
Lineage: Eukaryota; Metazoa; Chordata; Actinopteri; Gobiiformes; Gobiidae
Gene: pygl
Gene name: phosphorylase, glycogen, liver
Exons: 21
Source: RefSeq, a predicted model, not a curated record